Molecule: non-coding RNA, 3900 nt
Organism: Rattus norvegicus (Norway rat)
Lineage: Eukaryota; Metazoa; Chordata; Mammalia; Rodentia; Muridae
Source: RefSeq, a predicted model, not a curated record
UUUAAUCUCAAGAGCAGAGCCAGGUGGAGCUCUGUGUGUUUGAGGCCAGCCUGGUCCAUAGAGUGGGUUUCAGGAAAGCAGAGGCUACACAAUAAAACCCUGUCUGGAAAAAAAAAUGUCAUGGUCAAAUUCAGGGAAAUGACAGAUUUGGAGGUCACAGCCUAACGUUCGGUUCUGAAACACUCAGAGCCCUACGAUAUUGUGAGUAGCAUGUCUGGAGUCACACAAUUUCCUUGGCAGCAGUUGUCACAGGCCCUGUCCAUUGGGAUGCCAAACCUGACCACAUGGGCGCAAGGUCAGGGGAUUUGUCUUGGUUCUAGAUCCUAGAAUGACACCCCUACAAAAUGAGGUCAAGUGGCUGGAGAAAUGGCUUCAUGGUUAAGAAGAGCAUUUGAUCCACAAACAUGAGGACCUCAGUUCAGAACCUAAUACCCAAGUAAAAACCAAGAAAGGCGGGUGUGGCCGUGGGUGUGGGCGUGGCCGUGGGUGUGGGCGUGGCCGUGGGCGUGGCUGCAUGCCUAUAACAGCAGCCCUGAGUAGGGCAGAGACAGGAGAAUCAGAAGGGUGCAACGGUGCAACGUCCCUGCCUAACCGUGGAUCCCUGGCUCAAGGGAAUAAGACUACAGUGACAAAGAUGGACACCUGAUAUCCUCUUCUGGCAUCCCUAUGCAGGCACUGGUGUGUGUUUGUAACACACGUGCACACGAGCGCGCGCGCGCGCACACACACACACACACACACACGCAUGCACGCGCACAGCCGCAGAUUCACAGUGGGAGAACACUGAACAGCUCCAAGUGCUUCGAGGCCCACACUCGGUUGCCUUGGUAGCAGCAGAUGUGCCCGUCCUCCGCAGCUCUCACUGACUAAUGGCCACGCUGUGAGCAUGCCCAAUGGAGACACUGACAGAGCCAGGGCUCAGAUCGAAGAUGAAAUGUCUGCUCGUCCCUGCUGUAGACUGAAUUGAACCAUGUGACCUUCAGCAUCUCACUUUGACAAGGGGGUCACAAAAGAUGGUCUUAGGCAAUUCCUGGGAAAGAGGAAUUCAACCCCAAGGGGUCGCAACCCACAGGCUGAGAAACAUUGGCUUGGAGCUUCCUCGGUUCCCCUGCAAGAAUGGAGUGGAGGGAGAGGAGAGAAGGAAGGAGGGAAGGAGGGAAGAAGGAAGGGAGCUGUUCCAGGUGCUCAGCCUCCUGUCCAUAGGAUGGGAGGGAAGGAGGAUGCAGAGGAGAGAAGGGAGCAGGUUUCCAAGUCCAGAGCCCUCUUCCUUUCGAGUACCUGGUAAGUUGGGGGUUAUCAUCCCUCACUCUCUGAGUAGAAGCUGCCUUAGUAAAUGGCCUUUUGGGCAAGUUCCUUCACCUCUCUAUGCCUCCGUUUCCUCAUCUGAAAAAUGAAGGUAAGAGUGAGAGCAUCUCUGGCGUGAUACACCCAAGUGUAUCGUGAAGCACUGUUAUGACGUAAAACGACAACUUUACAAACCAGAGCCUUGUCUAUUGCAUUAGAAUAUAUUUGUUAAAAUCACACAGUGCAUCAUUUCUUUAAAAAAAUUAAUAACUUCCUUGGGAGGCUGAGGCAGGAGGAUUACCAUGGUUUCAAGACUUCCCUGGGCAACAAGGGAAAAUGGCAGGCUAGCAUGGGCUACAGAGGAAGACCAAUCUCAAAAACAAACAAACAAACAAAACCCCAAGUUUCAACAUUGUCAAUGCCCGCUAUAUGAAUUCAUUUUCACUUAGUUUCCUCCUGCUGAGGUGAGUUUGGGCAGGGUUAAUAGCCCUCACAGUUACAGGAGGAGCAUCGGAGGGAGAGGUACCAAGGAGGUGCCGGAAAAGAGGAGGAGAAAGAAUUCCCAGGGAGCUGCAGACCAGAGGACUCGUGGGGAGGACAGCCAGUCAGCCUGUCAGGUCAGCAUCCGGGAGCCUGCUGGAACUGAACACACAGGAGGUUAGGGGACUUGGGACCUGGCAUUCUCCACUGAAAGCUUGCAGGUGGCAGGGAUCUGAGCCUCUAACCCAGAUUCUCCCUCAAAGCCUGUGGUUCCCUGGCACUGUUUUGAGACGGCGCCAUUGACAAGGGCCAAAAGCUACUUAGGCUGUGAGGGUGAAGCCGAUAGAACCAGUCCCCAGGUCCCCGGCAGCCUUCCAGGUCCUCUCAGGAGCUCCUCAGGUUUCUGGCCCAGUGAAUGACUAACAGGGGCCUCUCCAAACAGAUCCAGUUGCACUCCCAGUUGCUGCCAGUCAGGGGCCCAUGAGGAGGUCAGCCUUGGGCUCUCUCCUCUCUGCUGCUCACCCAGCCUCGUUUGAGGCAGAUUCCAAGGGAACCCUGAACUUGCCAGUGGCUUUUAUCAUUUUGUUUUGCUUUUAUUUCCACUCCGUGGCUUGAGCAAAUCAAUGAGCCUCUUCUAAGCCUCCAUCUUCCUACCAGUGUGGGAUAAGAAGAUGCUGGAGGACGGAGGGAACUGAGUCACAGUGGUUUGCCCAGUUCAUGGCCUGUAGCAAGGGCUUUGUAAACACUGGCUACCUCAUGCCAUCAUUCCCAUCCCUGACGGUUAAGAUGUGUGUCCCUCUGAGACAGAAUUCCUUGUUUAAUUAGAAAAGGCUGUCUUCAUCAAACCUGAAUGGAAAAGAGAAACGGCUUACUGUCCAUUCAGUUCUUUAGGUCCAGAUUAGUGACUUCUUCUGGGUCACUGGCUGGUGGUGAUGCUGCACAGAACCCAGGCCUUUGAGUCCCCAUUGCCCCCUGCCAUUGCUCUAUCCUGUGUCUUCACAGACACCUGACCCUGUUGUCCCGAGGGCCACACCCGAAUACAGAGCAGAGAGAAUCAAUGCACACAGCUGCUCUUGUCUUUGUCCUACUCUCCUGCAGUGCAUUGUGGGAAACUCCUCUCGGCUCUAGGAAGAAUACGUGCCAAUUGACAUGAUGCUUCUUGCUUUUUUAAUGUCAAAAAACACACCGUCAUGGUUUCCUCUCCAAUAUUUAGUUUGCCCUUUAACUUCAACCCUGCGCCUCAGUCAUGGCUGCUUUUCUCCAGUUCAAAGGAGAACAGAGGAAACAUGUCUGUCAGACACACACACACACACACACACACACACACACCACCCUCUUUCUCUGUGUGUAUGUGUGUGUGUGAAUGUAUGUGUGUGUGAGUGCAUGUGUUUGUAUAAGUGUGUACAUGUUUGCAAUGUUCAUAGUGUGUACACAUGCAUGUGUAUGUGAAAACCAAGGCAGGUAUGUAUGGUCUGGGGCCUCUCGUCUCUUGAGAAAGAGGAGAGGAAGAACUGGUCUUAGGAAAAUCAUGGCCCAGAUAAAGUUUAGUGCUAAAUUGUGAAGACCACAUGCAUUGCUAAAAAAAUUUUUGGGGGUUGGGGAUUUAGCUCAGUGGUAGAGUGCUUGCCUAGCAAGCGCAAGGCCCUAGGUUCGGUCCUCAGCUCCGGAAAAAAAAUUUUUUUUUCUUUUUUUGUAAGUUUGAAUUGUGAUUUAGCCAAAACCUGCUUUGCCUAAAAUUAAACAACACAGUGGGGUGAGGAAAUAUCUGGACCAGAAAGACUCAGAGGAGUUCAAGGGCAAACUCUACCUCAAGCUGCCUCCGAGACCUUGGCCUUCUCUGGGUGUCUGUUUCCUGUCUGGGAUGAUGCCGCUCCCCUGGGCUUUGUCAGGUAUGAAAUGAUUGGCAGUCUCUGCCUGAUGUAGUGUCGGUUACCAUGAGAAAACCUCCCUCGGUGGCAUUUAAGGAAGGUCCAAUCCCUCUGUGUUUGAAGCUUUCUGUUACCAGGACAAGGUACCUGAGCUAAUCAGCAGAGGUUUGCCUGCGCGCCGACAGGAAAACCUCAGGAAGCACAAUGAACGGACUCUCAAGAGGAUCUGGGAGCGGGCGGGAGAAGCCAGUUCCAUCAAAAUUAAAAA